This 228-nucleotide long non-coding RNA is filed under the name Lathyrus oleraceus (garden pea). RNAcentral's name for it is "Pisum sativum (pea) long non-coding RNA (PSAT_LNC036315)". Lineage: Eukaryota; Viridiplantae; Streptophyta; Magnoliopsida; Fabales; Fabaceae. The record is from RNAcentral.
UUGUUAUUGUUGUUGGUGAUAACUUCAGCCAUGGUUCUUUGUUUUGCGCCGGAAGACUAUUCUAGAUCUAGCAUCUUGGGUUUUUGUUUCUUUUUCAUUUUCUUACUAAUGUUUUUGUGUGUGGUUCUUUUGAUUUCAGGAUUGAAUAACAAUUGUUUUGCAUUAACAUUACCUCGCAUAAAUAAGUAACAACAUAAGUAACUCUAGAUAUUGAUGGGUUAGUGUUAG